UGAGGAACAUGACUUUCGGCGGGGGAUAGCCGGCCCAACGGCCGGGUAAUACCGCGUACGACCACAUGGGGACAUCCCUGAGUGGUGAAAGCAGCAAUGCGCCGAUGGAGUGCCUCGCGGCCUAUCAGCUAGUUGGUGAGGUAACGGCUCACCAAGGCGACGACGGGUAGCUGGUCUGAGAGGAUGGCCAGCCACAUUGGAACUGAGACACGGUCCAGACUNUACGGGAG
Molecule: ribosomal RNA, 230 nt
Filed under: uncultured bacterium
Lineage: Bacteria
Description: partial 16S ribosomal RNA
Rfam family: Bacterial small subunit ribosomal RNA
Source: RNAcentral